RNAcentral lists this ribosomal RNA (422 nucleotides) under uncultured bacterium. RNAcentral describes it as "bacterial SSU rRNA". It matches the Rfam family "Bacterial small subunit ribosomal RNA", at positions 355 to 774 of the family's 1533-position model. The record is from RNAcentral.
UGAGGAAUAUUGGUCAAUGGGCGCAAGCCUGAACCAGCCAUGCCGCGUGCAGGAUGACGGUCCUAUGGAUUGUAAACUGCUUUUGUACAGGAAGAAACACUCCGACGUGUCGGAGCUUGACGGUACUGUAAGAAUAAGGAUCGGCUAACUCCGUGCCAGCAGCCGCGGUAAUACGGAGGAUCCAAGCGUUAUCCGGAAUCAUUGGGUUUAAAGGGUCCGUAGGCGGUUUGGUAAGUCAGUGGUGAAAGCCCAUCGCUCAACGGUGGAACGGCCAUUGAUACUGCCAGACUUGAAUUAUUAGGAAGUAACUAGAAUAUGUAGUGUAGCGGUGAAAUGCUUAGAGAUUACAUGGAAUACCAAUUGCGAAGGCAGGUUACUACUAAUGGAUUGACGCUGAUGGACGAAAGCGUGGGUAGCGAACA